Small nuclear RNA from Otolemur garnettii (small-eared galago), 61 nucleotides. Its record names the gene U7. It matches the Rfam family "U7 small nuclear RNA". From Rfam's summary of the family: Animal histone pre-mRNAs are spliced by a different mechanism than nuclear pre-mRNAs and self-splicing introns. The record is from Ensembl. Lineage: Eukaryota; Metazoa; Chordata; Mammalia; Primates; Galagidae.
AAGUGAGGACACCUCUUAGAAUUUAUCUAGCAGGUUUCCUGGUUCUUACUGGAAGACCCCA